RNAcentral lists this long non-coding RNA (204 nucleotides) under Marmota monax (woodchuck). Lineage: Eukaryota; Metazoa; Chordata; Mammalia; Rodentia; Sciuridae. The record is from RNAcentral.
GGGGAUAGUAGAGGAUAGGAAAGGCAGCAGAAUACAACAGACACUAGUAUGGCAAUAUGUAAAUCAAUGGAUGUGUAACUGAUGUGAUUCUGCAAUCUGUAUAUGGGGUAAAAAUGGGAGCUCAUAACCCACUUGAAUCAAAUUGUGAAAUAUGAUAUAUCAAGAACUACGUAAUGUUUUGAACAGCCAACAAUAAAAAAAAAA